UCACAAAGAAAGUAAAUGUAAUGAGGUAUUACAUUUGUGGUAGGUGACUGUUAUUGCGUUUGUGGGAUUAUUACAUUAAAAGCUGCAAAUUUUUACUACGUUUGUGGGAGUUAUUACGUUUGUGCGGUUAACACUGACCCCUAAACAUGUAAAACUAUUUUUGUGGCAUUGUCUCUGCCUAACUUUUCCUAAGUGAUUUGUCACCAUUUACUACAAUAUC
Molecule: long non-coding RNA, 220 nt
Organism: Sphaeramia orbicularis (orbiculate cardinalfish)
Lineage: Eukaryota; Metazoa; Chordata; Actinopteri; Kurtiformes; Apogonidae
Exons: 3
Source: RefSeq, a predicted model, not a curated record